Molecule: ribosomal RNA, 301 nt
Filed under: uncultured bacterium
Lineage: Bacteria
Description: partial 16S ribosomal RNA
Rfam family: Bacterial small subunit ribosomal RNA
Source: RNAcentral
CAGUAGCCGCGGUAAUACGUAGGGCGCAAGCGUUGUCCGGAAUUAUUGGGCGUAAAGAGCUCGUAGGCGGUCUGUCGCGUCUGGUGUGAAAUCCCGAGGCUCAACCUCGGGCUUGCAUCGGGUACGGGCAGACUAGAGUGCGGUAGGGGAUACUGGAAUUCCUGGUGUAGCGGUGGAAUGCGCAGAUAUCAGAAGGAACACCGAUGGCGAAGGCAGGUCUCUGGGCCGCAACUGACGCUGAGGAGCGAAAGCAUGGGGAGCGAACAGGAUUAGAUACCCCCGUAGUCCCUGUCUCUUAUAC